This 253-nucleotide ribosomal RNA is filed under the name uncultured bacterium. RNAcentral's name for it is "partial 16S ribosomal RNA". It matches the Rfam family "Bacterial small subunit ribosomal RNA", at positions 524 to 776 of the family's 1533-position model. The record is from RNAcentral.
UACGUAGGGGGCUAGCGUUGUCCGGAAUCAUUGGGCGUAAAGAGCGUGUAGGCGGUCCGGUAAGUCCGCUGUGAAAGUCGGGGGCUCAACCCUCGAAUGCCGGUGGAAACUGUCGGGCUAGAGUACGGAAGAGGCGAGUGGAAUUCCUGGUGUAGCGGUGAAAUGCGCAGAUAUCAGGAGGAACACCAAUUGCGAAGGCAGCUCGCUGGGACGUUACUGACGCUGAGACGCGAAAGCGUGGGGAGCAAACAGG